GGGCCGGUAGUCUAGAGGAUUAUGACGUAGGCCUGCGGAGCCUAUGGUCGUGGGUUCAAAUCCCACCCGGCCCG
Molecule: transfer RNA, 74 nt
Filed under: Thermoproteota archaeon
Lineage: Archaea; Thermoproteati; Thermoproteota
Description: Crenarchaeota archaeon (hot springs metagenome) tRNA-Arg
Rfam family: tRNA
About the family: Transfer RNA (tRNA) molecules are approximately 80 nucleotides in length.
Source: RNAcentral